CCUCCCCACCUCCGUUCUCGCAUCCCCGGUCCGUCCGUCGUCCCCUGCUCCACUCCACCCUUCUCCCUCCUUCCAUUUGACCCCGCUCCCCCGUCUCUUCCUCGGCAAAGCUUCGAAUUUUCCUCCCUCCCCCUAUCCCCAAGCCUCCCGCUUCCGUGUCCGCGUCCCGUCUUGGAUUCGUCCGCCGCGCCAACAAAGAAACCGCGUGCGUGCGUGCGUGCGCGUCGGUUCGGUCCCGUCCGGCCCUUGUUCCUUCCUUGCCGGCCGCUGCUUCGCGCGCAUUGCCGCCCCGCCCCCGCCCGCGGGAUUCCUCCGCCCAAUAAGUUCCUUUCCCGGGGACGUUUCUCGGAGGACGGACAGGAAGAAAAAAGCCGCGCGCGCUGCCUCGCCGCAUGGAUCAGGGUCCCCCGCGCUGCCGCCUGGAGCUGGGAUUUCGGGACGCGGGCGUUCAGGGGUUCCGGCCGGACGCCGCCGCCGCCGCGCCGCGGCAGGGCGGGAUCUCGGAGCUCUGUUGAGGCGUUCCGGGUCAGGUGAUUUAGUCCAGUGCUGUCCAGUUCCUCGUGUGGCUGCCUCGCCUGCUUUUUUUAGGGGGAGUCCAGUGAUUUGUUCCUGAUUCAUCCACUGGUUCUUGAGGGCUGAAUUUUCAGAUUCAACUCAGUAAGUUUGAGGCCAAAAGUUCUGUCAUCUCAGCACUAGGCAAGAGAGCUGAGCCUGGUGAGCCCUGGGCAGUAGUAGUCUGGUGCGGUGAUCUGGUUGUUGUGUCAAAAUGGCACGGGUAAGGAGGAGGCUGGAGAAGCUGAAGCUGAGUACAUUGUACAGCUUCGCGCUCUGCGCCAAGGGCUCCACCGAAGAUCACUCCAAGAUUGGCACGGCGGGGUUCUCCCGAGUCGUCUACGUCAAUGAUCCAGACAGGCAUGAAGAGGAGGGCUUCAGAUACCCAAGAAAUGAGGUGUCCACUACCAAGUACUCGUUGGUCACCUUCGUGCCCAAGUCCCUCUUUGAGCAGUUCCGGAGGGUGGCCAACUUCUACUUCCUCGUCUCGGGGAUCCUCACGCUGACCCCGCUCGCGCCCUACUCAGCGGUAAGCGCGCUACUGCCAUUGUCGGUCGUGAUUACGGCCACCAUGCUGAAAGAAGGGGUUGAGGAUUGGAGGAGGAAACAACAGGACAUUGAGCUCAACAAUCGAAUAGUAAAAGUACAUAGAGGGAAUGGCAGUUUUGAAGAGACAAAAUGGAAGUAUAUCAAAAUUGGAGAUGUGAUCAAGGUGGAGAAGGAUAAUUUCUUUCCUGCUGACUUGAUUCUACUUUCAUCUAACUAUCCGGAUGGGAUCUGCUAUGUAGAGACUAUGAACCUUGAUGGUGAAACAAAUUUGAAAAUUAAACAAGCUCUUGAGGUGACAUCGGAUUUACAAGAGGAUGGUGAUUUCACAAACCUUAGACAAAUAAUCAAAUGCGAAGAUCCGAAUGCGAAUCUUUAUUCUUUUGUUGGUACUAUGGAUUAUAAAGGCAUGCGGCAUCCUCUGUCACCCCAACAACUCCUUCUUCGGGACUCAAAGCUGCGGAACACUGAUUACAUAUAUGGGGCUGUCAUCUUCACAGGUCAUGAUACAAAAGUGAUGCAAAAUGCAACUGAGCCACCAUCUAAAAGAAGCAAGAUUGAGAAGAAAAUGGAUUACAUCAUUUACCUGCUGCUGUGUUCUUUACUUGGAAUUGCUUUACUUGGUUCAGUCUUUUUUGGUAUAUGGACUAAAGCUGAUUUAAGGAAUGGUGAGCUAAAACGGUGGUAUCUUCGCCCAGAUGAUUCGACCGUCUUCUAUGACCCGAAACGAGCACCUCUGGCAUCCUUUUGUCAUCUGUUGACAGCCUUAAUGUUGUACAACUACUUUAUCCCAAUUUCUUUGUACAUAUCCAUUGAGAUGGUCAAGAUCUUACAGGCUGUAUUCAUCAACCAGGACAUUGACAUGUAUGAUGAAGAAUCAGAUAAGCCAACUCAUGCUCGAACCUCAAAUCUAAACGAAGAACUAGGUCAAGUUGACACAAUUCUCUCUGAUAAGACUGGAACCUUGACCUGCAACAUGAUGGAGUUUAUCAAGUGUUCGAUUGCUGGCACUGCAUAUGGUCAGUCUGUCACAGAAGUUGAGAAAGCUAUGGCCCUGAGGAAAGGGGUGCCGCUAGGUGACGAGAUAGAAGCUGGAGGGCACAAGGAGAAACAAAUCGAGGAGAGUCCUCAUGUCAAAGGUUUUAAUUUGAAGGAUCCACGUAUAAUGGAUGGAAAUUGGAUACAUGAACCUAAUAAAGAUGUCAUCAGGGAUUUUUUCCGUCUGCUAGCCAUCUGCCAUACAUGCAUACCUGAAGUAGAUGAAACUGAUAAAGUUUCGUACGAAGCUGAGUCCCCUGAUGAAGCUGCAUUUGUUAUCGCAGCAAGAGAAUUAGGAUUUGAGUUUUACAAGAGGACACAGACAAGUAUAGUUAUUCGUGAACGCGAUCCUAACCAGAAUGUUGCAGAUUAUCAGUAUAGAAAAUAUGAGCUCCUAAAUGUCUUGGAAUUCAGUAGCUCACGAAGACGGAUGUCUGUGAUAGUGAAGGAACCAGAGCCAGAGGGGAGGAUAUUACUGUUUAGCAAGGGCGCUGAUAGUGUGAUGUUCACAAGGCUUGCACCAGAUGGAAGAAAAUUUGAGGAAGAGACUAAAAGGCACAUAAACGAGUAUUCUGAUUCUGGUCUAAGAACACUGGUUCUUGCGUACCGCGUCUUGGAUGAGAAAGAGUACGAGAACUUCGCUGAAAAAUUCAGGACUGCCAAAAUAUCUGGAAGUGCUGACAGAGAUGAACAAAUUGGGGAGGCUGCUGAUAGCAUUGAGCGGGACUUGAUUCUUCUUGGUGCUACUGCUGUUGAAGACAAGCUCCAGAAAGGGGUACCAGAAUGCAUUGACAAGCUUGCACAAGCAGGAAUUAAGAUAUGGGUGUUGACGGGUGACAAAAUGGAGACAGCUAUCAAUAUUGGAUUUGCAUGUAGCCUACUUAGACAAGGAAUGACACAGAUAAUCAUCGCCCUGGAAGCACCUGACAUCAUUGCAUUGGAGAAAAACGGAGACAAAGAUUCCAUUGCCAAGGCAUCAAAGCAAAGUGUUAUGGGUCAGAUAGAGGAUGGAAUAAAACAAGUCCCAACCUUGGGUCAGUCCAGUACGGAAUCUUUUGCAUUGAUAAUUGAUGGUAAAUCAUUAACUUAUGCUUUGGAAGAUGAUGUCAAGUUUAAGUUCUUGGAUCUUGCUGUCAAGUGUGCAUCAGUCAUAUGUUGUCGAUCUUCACCGAAGCAGAAGGCAUUGGUUACAAGGCUUGUUAAACAUUCAGAUAAAGUUACCUUAGCAAUUGGUGAUGGGGCAAAUGAUGUUGGCAUGCUUCAGGAAGCUGACAUAGGGGUUGGAAUUAGUGGUGUUGAAGGGAUGCAGGCUGUCAUGGCAAGUGAUAUUGCCAUCGCCCAGUUCCGCUUCCUGGAACGGUUGCUUUUGGUGCAUGGACAUUGGUGUUACCGACGUAUUUCAGUGAUGAUAUGCUAUUUCUUCUACAAGAAUGUGACUUUUGGAGUCACCAUCUUUCUGUAUGAAGCGUUUGCAUCCUUUUCAGGGAAGCCAGCUUAUAAUGAUUGGUUCUUGUCACUGUAUAAUGUAUUUUUCACCUCCCUACCUGUCAUUGCGUUGGGCGUAUUUGAUCAGGAUGUUUCUUCCCGUCUAUGUUUACAGUAUCCGGAGCUAUACCAAGAAGGUGUGCAGAAUGUAUUAUUCAGCUGGCGUCGGAUACUUGGCUGGAUGUUUAAUGGUGUCGUGAAUGCCAUCUUAAUAUUUUUCUUCUGCACUACCGCCCUGAAGGACCAAGCAUUUCGUCAAGAUGGCCAAGUUGCGGGCUUGGAUGCCCUAGGUGCUACCAUGUACACUUGUGUCGUAUGGGUAGUCAACUGCCAAAUGGCCCUCUCGGUGAACUACUUCACCAUAAUCCAACACAUAUUCAUAUGGGGUAGCAUUACUGUGUGGUACAUCUUCCUCAUGGUUUAUGGUGCUAUAGACCCAAAGUACUCCAAGACAGCAUACAUGGUCUUCAUUGAACAGUUGGCCCCAGCGCUAUCAUAUUGGUUGGUGACACUUUUCGUGGUGACGGCCACACUCGUCCCGUACUUCUGCUAUGCCGCAAUUCAGAUCCGUUUCUUUCCAAUGUUCCAUAACAAGAUUCAGUGGAAAAGGUACCUGGGGAAGGCUGAAGACCCAGAGGUGGCAAGGCAGCUAUCAUCACGGCACCGGACAUCGUCACACCAAAGGAUGGUUGGGAUCUCUGCUCGUCGCGACGGCAAGGCCAUGCAAGUUAAAAAGGGAACCGACGUAGAGGUUGAAGGAUGACAUUCUCUCAGUAGAUUUUGUGUUUUGUACAGAUUAUAGAAUGUCAUCUCCUGAAAGAUGACAGAAGAUGGACUGGCUAGAACUUGUGAAUAUUCUUGGAUUGUUGCUUCUAUGGUUCCAUGCAGUUCUUCCAGUUCAGAGGAUAGAGCUAGAUCACAGAAUUUCGUAGAUAGGCCACAAGAAGAACAAGAGAAGACCUGCUGUAAAGUUCAUGUAGCAAUUUAAGGCUGUGUGUGUGUGUGUGUGUGUGUUUUCCCCCUUCUCUUUUGCUCUUACCCCUGUUUAUGCUAGUGCUCUGAUGGCAGAAUUCACUUUGUUUCAAGGCUUUUGCGUUUUGCCACGUAACUGUUGUCCCUCUGUUUUACUCUAAACCAAUAAUGCUAUGGUUUCUAUAUAAUGAAAUGAUUGCACUGCAUUUCGCAG
This 4807-nucleotide ribosomal RNA is filed under the name Triticum aestivum (bread wheat). RNAcentral's name for it is "partial small subunit ribosomal RNA". The record is from RNAcentral. Lineage: Eukaryota; Viridiplantae; Streptophyta; Magnoliopsida; Poales; Poaceae.